This 506-nucleotide ribosomal RNA is filed under the name uncultured bacterium. RNAcentral's name for it is "partial 16S ribosomal RNA". It matches the Rfam family "Bacterial small subunit ribosomal RNA", at positions 30 to 523 of the family's 1533-position model. The record is from RNAcentral.
AUUGAACGCUGGCGGCAGGCCUAACACAUGCAAGUCGAGCGGUAACACAGAGGAGCUUGCUCCUUGGGUGACGAGCGGCGGACGGGUGAGUAAUGCCUGGGGAUCUGCCCGAUAGAGGGGGAUAACUACGGGAAACUGUAGCUAAUACCGCAUAACGUCUACGGACCAAAGUGGGGGCUCUUCGGACCUCAUGCUAUCGGAUGAACCCAGGUGGGAUUAGCUAGUUGGUGAGGUAAUGGCUCACCAAGGCGACGAUCUCUAACUGGUUUGAGAAAAUGCACAGCACCACUGGAACCGAGACGCGGUCCAGACACAUACGGGAGGCAGCAGUGGGGUAUAUUGCACAAGUGCCGCAAGCCUGAUGCAGCUAUGCCGCGUGUGUGAAGCAGGCCUUCUGGUUGUAAAGCACUUUCAGCGGGGAGGAAGGGUCACUAGUUAAUACCUAGUGGCAUUGACGUUACUCGCAGAAGAAGCACCGGCUAACUCCGUGCCAGCCGCCGCGGUAA